ACGUAGGUGGCGAGCGUUGUCCGGAAUUAUUGGGCGUAAAGAGCAUGUAGGCGGUCUUUUAAGUCUGGAGUGAAAAUGCGGGGCUCAACCCCGUAUGGCUCUGGAUACUGGAGGACUUGAGUGCAGGAGAGGAAAGGGGAAUUCCCAGUGUAGCGGUGAAAUGCGUAGAUAUUGGGAGGAACACCAGUGGCGAAGGCGCCUUUCUGGACUGUGUCUGACGCUGAGAUGCGAAAGCCAGGGUAGCGAACGG
This 250-nucleotide ribosomal RNA is filed under the name uncultured bacterium. Its description in RNAcentral is "partial 16S ribosomal RNA". It matches the Rfam family "Bacterial small subunit ribosomal RNA", at positions 525 to 775 of the family's 1533-position model. The record is from RNAcentral.